RNAcentral lists this ribosomal RNA (157 nucleotides) under uncultured marine eukaryote. Its description in RNAcentral is "5.8S ribosomal RNA". It matches the Rfam family "Eukaryotic large subunit ribosomal RNA", at positions 1 to 149 of the family's 3401-position model. The record is from RNAcentral.
UAUUUGUAUAAAUAAUGGCAUCAUUCUACGAGGGCGACCCGCUGAACUUAAGCAUAUUAAUAAGCGGAGGAAAAGAAACUAAAUAGGAUUCUCUUAGUAGCAGCGAGUGAACAGAGAGAAGCUCAUCCUGAGGGUGUACUAGUUGCACCGAUGCGGG